GACGAACGCUGGCGGCGUGCUUAACACAUGCAAGUCGAACGAUGAAGCACCAUCUUGCUGGUGUGGAUUAGUGGCGAACGGGUGAGUAACACGUGAGUAACCUGCCCCUCACUCUGGGAUAAGCCUGGGAAACUGGGUCUAAUACUGGAUACGACCGAUCUCCGCAUGGAGUGUUGGUGGAAAGUUUUGGUGGUGGGGGAUGGACUCGCGGCCUAUCAGCUUGUUGGUGGGGUAAUGGCCUACCAAGGCGACGACGGGUAGCCGGCCUGAGAGGGCGACCGGCAAAACUGGGACUGAGAAACGGCCCAGACUCCUACGGGAGGAAGCAGUGGGGAAUAUUGCACAAUGGGCGAAAGCCUGAUGAAGCGACGCGGCGUGAGGGAUGACGGCCUUCGGGUUGUAAACCUCUUUCCCCAGGGACGAAGCUAAUGUGACGGUACCUGGAGAAGAAGCACCGGCUAACUACGUG
Molecule: ribosomal RNA, 469 nt
Filed under: uncultured bacterium
Lineage: Bacteria
Description: partial 16S ribosomal RNA
Rfam family: Bacterial small subunit ribosomal RNA
Source: RNAcentral